GAUGAACGCUGGCGGCGUGCCUAAUACAUGCAAGUCGAGCGAACGGACGAUAAGCUUGCUUCUCUGAUGUUAGCGGCGGACGGGUGAGUAACACGUGUAUAACCUACCUAUAAGACUGGGAUAACUUCGGGAAACCGGAGCUAAUACCGGAUAAUAUUUUGAACCGCAUGGUUCAAAAGUGAAAGACGGUCUUGCUGUCACUUAUAGAUGGAUCCGCGCUGCAUUAGCUAGUUGGUAAGGUAACGGCUUACCAAGGCAACGAUGCAUAGCCGACCUGAGAGGGGGGUCGGCCACACUGGAACUGAGACACGGUCCAGACUACUACGGGAGGCAGCAGUAGGGAAUGUUACGCAAUGGGCGAAAGCAUGACGGAGCAACGCCGCGUGAGUGAUGAAGGUCUUCGGAUCGUAAAACUCUGUUAUUAGGGAAGAACAUAUGUGUAAGUAAAUGUGCACAUCUUGACGGUACCUAAUAAGAAAGCCACGGCUAACUACGUG
RNAcentral lists this ribosomal RNA (497 nucleotides) under uncultured bacterium. Its description in RNAcentral is "partial 16S ribosomal RNA". It matches the Rfam family "Bacterial small subunit ribosomal RNA", at positions 28 to 507 of the family's 1533-position model. The record is from RNAcentral.